This 228-nucleotide long non-coding RNA is filed under the name Felis catus (domestic cat). RNAcentral describes it as "lncRNA (ENSFCAG00000041879.2)". Lineage: Eukaryota; Metazoa; Chordata; Mammalia; Carnivora; Felidae. The record is from RNAcentral.
UGCAGCUGACAACCGCCCUUAUUGCAUUGCCCCAGGGAGAGUGGGAUAAGGGGAGAUGCUGCUGCUACUGCUAAUUGAAAUUUCAGUACUAAGAAAUGAAAUUGGAGAACUGAGGCAGCUGUUGGAUCAAAAAUGACUUUGACAGGUAAGUUAUUUUUAUUAAAUACGUUUUGAGACUCCCAACUAACUUCUUACAUUGGUAGUUUAAAAUCUCCAUAAACUACUUAA